RNAcentral lists this ribosomal RNA (517 nucleotides) under uncultured bacterium. Its description in RNAcentral is "bacterial SSU rRNA". It matches the Rfam family "Bacterial small subunit ribosomal RNA", at positions 29 to 518 of the family's 1533-position model. The record is from RNAcentral.
ACGAACGCUGGCGGCGUGCCUAAUACAUGCAAGUCGAACGGUCUUUCUAUGGAAGCUUGCUUCCACUGAGAAGAUAGUGGCGAACGGGUGAGUAACACGUGGGUAACCUGCCCAUAAGAGGGGGGAUAACAUCCGGAAACGGGUGCUAAUACCGCAUAGUUUUCUUGAUCGCAUGAUCGGGAAAGGAAAGACGGCCUUUGUGCUGUCGCUUAUGGAUGGACCCGCGGCGUAUUAGUUAGUUGGUGAGGUAACGGCUCACCAAGACGAUGAUACGUAGCCGACCUGAGAGGGUGAUCGGCCACAUUGGGACUGAGACACGGCCCAAACUCCUAUGGGAGGCAGCAGUAGGGAAUCUUCCGCAAUGGACGAAAGUCUGACGGAGCAACGCCGCGUGAGUGAAAGAAGGUUUUCGGAUCGUAAAACUCUGUUGUCAGAGAAGAACAAGUUGGAGAGUAACUGCCCCAGCCUUGACGGUAUCUGACCAGAAAGCCACGGCUAACUACGUGCCAGCCGCGGC